GGCCUAUUAGCUCAGUUGGUUAGAGCGUCGUGCUAAUAACGCGAAGGUCACAUGUUCGAGACCUACAUGGGCCA
Molecule: transfer RNA, 74 nt
Filed under: Nelumbo nucifera (sacred lotus)
Lineage: Eukaryota; Viridiplantae; Streptophyta; Magnoliopsida; Proteales; Nelumbonaceae
Rfam family: tRNA
About the family: Transfer RNA (tRNA) molecules are approximately 80 nucleotides in length. Their secondary structure includes four short double-helical elements and three loops (D, anti-codon, and T loops).
Source: Rfam by way of RNAcentral